CAGCCGCCGCGGUAAUACGUAGGUGGCAAGCGUUGUCCGGAAUUAUUGGGCGUAAAGGGCUCGCAGGCGGUUUCUUAAGUCUGAUGUGAAAGCCCCCGGCUCAACCGGGGAGGGUCAUUGGAAACUGGGAAACUUGAGUGCAGAAGAGGAGAGUGGAAUUCCACGUGUAGCGGUGAAAUGCGUAGAGAUGUGGAGGAACACCAGUGGCGAAGGCGACUCUCUGGUCUGUAACUGACGCUGAGGAGCGAAAGCGUGGGGAGCGAACAGGAUUAGAUACCCGCGUAGUCCCUGUCUUUUAUAA
This 301-nucleotide ribosomal RNA is filed under the name uncultured bacterium. RNAcentral's name for it is "partial 16S ribosomal RNA". It matches the Rfam family "Bacterial small subunit ribosomal RNA", at positions 509 to 809 of the family's 1533-position model. The record is from RNAcentral.